ACGCUCGACACCUACGGGAGGCAGCAGUCGGGAAUAUUGCGCAAUGGGAGGAAACUCUGACGCAGUGACGCCGCGUAUAGGAAGAAGGUUUUCGGAUUGUAAACUAUUGUCGUUAGGGAAGAGAAAGGACAGUACCUAAGGAGGAAGCUCCGGCUAACUACGUGCCUGCAGCCGCGGUAAUCUGAGCGGGCUGGCAAGGC
This 200-nucleotide ribosomal RNA is filed under the name uncultured bacterium. RNAcentral's name for it is "partial 16S ribosomal RNA". It matches the Rfam family "Bacterial small subunit ribosomal RNA", at positions 328 to 539 of the family's 1533-position model. The record is from RNAcentral.